UACGUAGGUGGCAAGCGUUAUCCGGAAUUACUGGGCGUAAAGCGCACGCAGGUGGCUAUCUAAGAUUGACGUGAAAGCUUCUGGCUUAACUGGAAGAGGUCGGUGAUGACUGGAUGGCUUGAGACGAGGAGAGGGGUGCAGAAUUCCCGGUGUAGUGGUGGAAUGCGUAGAUAUCGGGAGGAAUACCAGUGGCGAAAGCGGCACCCUGGCCUUAGUCUGACGCUCAGGUGCGAAAGCGUGGGUAGCUAACAGG
RNAcentral lists this ribosomal RNA (253 nucleotides) under uncultured bacterium. RNAcentral describes it as "partial 16S ribosomal RNA". It matches the Rfam family "Bacterial small subunit ribosomal RNA", at positions 524 to 776 of the family's 1533-position model. The record is from RNAcentral.